GCUGGGCAUGGUGGUGCGUGCCUGUAAUCCCAGCUACUCAGGAGGCUGAGGCAGGAGAACCGCUUGAACCCAGGAGGUGGAGGUUGCAGUGAGCUGAGGUUGUGCCAUUGCCCUCCAACCUGGGUGACAGAGCGAGACUCUGUCUCAA
This 148-nucleotide non-coding RNA is filed under the name Chlorocebus sabaeus (green monkey). The record is from Rfam by way of RNAcentral. Lineage: Eukaryota; Metazoa; Chordata; Mammalia; Primates; Cercopithecidae.